This 1844-nucleotide long non-coding RNA is filed under the name Salmo salar (Atlantic salmon). RNAcentral's name for it is "lncRNA (ENSSSAG00000084150.1)". Lineage: Eukaryota; Metazoa; Chordata; Actinopteri; Salmoniformes; Salmonidae. The record is from RNAcentral.
AACAGCACUGGCUCUGGAGCAGCAUGUCAACACCCUGUAUCUGUGUGGAGUCUGGAGUCUGAAUGAAGAACAGCACUGGCUCUGGAGCAGCAUGUCAACACCCUGUAUCUGUGUGGAGUCUGGAGUCUGAAUGAAGAACAGCACUGGCUCUGGAGCAGCAUGUCAACACCCUGUAUCUGUGUGGAGUCUGGAGUCUGAAUGAAGAACAGCACUGGCUCUGGAGCAGCAUGUCAACACCUUUUUUUUCACACAUGGAUUUUUGUUUAUUUCUUUGAUAAACAGAAAGAAAAAAAAAAGACCUUGCUUUUUAAUUGUAAGCUCAUUUAAAUUGUGUGGCUGCUAGCCAAAUAGUGUUGCACUUCGGUUGUCAAACAGCAUGUCGCAAUACUGAUAGAGAAAUAAGGUGACAGACAGCGGUAAAGGGGAAUCACUGUAAUACCUGGAGAGGAACCAGAAAUAGUAUUUUAACCAUUUAAACGCUGUUCCGCAGCAGCAGCAGCAGCAGCAGCAGCAGCAGCAGCAGCAGCAGCAGCAUUAUGGGGAAGUGAGUUGACGCUAAAAAAAAAAAGACAUUGAACAUGUCUUCCAUUUCAUUCACACCGGAAUUAAAAUGUCCGCCCUCCACAGUCAACGGUGACGAUGUCACGGCCGGGACGCCACGGGGGGUUUCCUACCUCAGUCGGCAACAAAGAGGAUCUGAACGGGAAUACGUGUAGGAUCGGUGUGUGUGUGUGUGUGUGUGUGUGUGUGUGUGUGUGUGUGUGUGUGUGUGUUCUUACGUUCCUCCCAUCCCUAUACUCUCUAAGGAUAAGCAUCGAUCUGUUCUCCCUCAGGGUAGCUAUCCUUAGUGAGGCAUUUUCACCUUCCCGUGGUGAGGAGGGUAAAGAGGGUUGGGGAAUUCCCCCUUUCAGCUGAAGCCCGGUGGGGACAGCAGCACACAGGAAGAGGACAGCUGGAGAGAGCAGCACACAGGAAGAGGACGGCUGGAGAGAGCAGGACACAGGAAGAGGACGACUGGAGAGAGCAGCACACAGGAAGAGGACGGCUGGAGAGAGCAGGACACAGGAAGAGGACGGCUGGAGAGAGCAGGACACAGGAAGAGGACAGCUGGAGAGAGCAGCACACAGGAAGAGGACGGCUGGAGAGAGCAGGACACAGGAAGAGGACAGCUGGAGAGAGCAGGACACAGGAAGAGGACGACUGGAGAGAGCAGGACACAGGAAGAGGACAGCUGGAGAGAGCAGGACACAGGAAGAGGACAACUGGAGAGAGCAGGACACAGGAAGAGGACAGCUGGAGAGAGCAGCACACAGGAAGAGGACAGCUGGAGAGAGCAGCACACAGGAAGAGGACGACUGGAGAGAGCAGCACACAGGAAGAGGACAGCUGGAGAGAGCAGCACACAGGAAGAGGACGACUGGAGAGAGCAGCACACAGGAAGAGGACGGCUGGAGAGAGCAGGACACAGGAAGAGGACAGCUGGAGAGAGCAGGACACAGGAAGAGGACAACUGGAGAGAGCAGCACACAGGAAGAGGACAGCUGGAGAGAGCAGCACACAGGAAGAGGACAACUGGAGAGAGCAGGACACAGGAAGAGGACGACUGGAGAGAGCAGCACACAGGAAGAGGACAACUGGAGAGAGCAGGACACAGGAAGAGGACAACUGGAGAGAGCAGCACACCCACACCCAGUCACACCCAGUCACACACACACACACACACACCGUCACACACACACCAGGAAGUUUUCAAUAGAAAACAAUAAAAGGCCACAGACAAGGAAUGGGACAACAAAUAGUAGAACACAACAGGGCCAACAGACACACACACCACACCCACCACA